AUAUUUGGUUUAAAAUCUUUUAUUUAAUACUGAUAAAAACGACGUAUUAUAAUAACCUUAUACAGUUAUAAGAUGGGAUUAUAAACUCUUUAGUGAUGGAAGUACAUAUAAAUCUUUCGUCGCCACAAACCACACCGUAAUAAGUAUAACAGUUUUCACCUCAAACCACAAUGUCUUUCUGAGUCAUAAUCUUCAGGUAAUCAGUGUGGUUUCCCUUUGUUUUCUACAUAGAAAGCUGCUGUUACGGGUAGUUCAAACUAAUGUAGAGCACCAAGACAAGAUUACAGUACGUGUCACUCGGUGCAGUACAACUUGAAUAUGCGGCAGAAAGAUAUAUGACAUAAUAGAUUCAUAGGAAUAUAUUUUAGACACGUCUUUGAAUUAAUAGCACUUAGUAAUGUACUUGAACCAGAAGCAUGUUUUCAUCACAGACUUUUAUUAACCUUCCCAGGAAAAAAUCAUAUGCUUACACAGAUUUCUCGAAAUAAAGUUGCCUGUAAGUUUUUUUUU
RNAcentral lists this long non-coding RNA (510 nucleotides) under Mytilus galloprovincialis (Mediterranean mussel). The record is from RNAcentral. Lineage: Eukaryota; Metazoa; Mollusca; Bivalvia; Mytilida; Mytilidae.